RNAcentral lists this ribosomal RNA (481 nucleotides) under uncultured bacterium. RNAcentral's name for it is "bacterial SSU rRNA". It matches the Rfam family "Bacterial small subunit ribosomal RNA", at positions 501 to 985 of the family's 1533-position model. The record is from RNAcentral.
CUACGUGCCAGCAGCCGCGGUAAUACGGAAGGUCCUGGUGUUAUCCGGAUUUAUUGGGUUUAAAGGGAGCGUAGGCCGUAGAUUAAGUGUGUUGUGAAAUGUAGGCGCCCAACGUCUGCCUUGCAGCGCAAACUGGUUUACUUGAGUACGCACAACGUUGGCGGAAUUCGUCGUGUAGCGGUGAAAUGCUUAGAUAUGACGAAGAACUCCGAUUGCGAAGGCAGCUGACGGGAGCGCAACUGACGCUGAAGCUCGAAGGUGCGGGUAUCGAACAGGAUUAGAUACCCUGGUAGUCCGCACAGUAAACGAUGGAUGCCCGCUGUUGGUACCUAGUAUCAGCGGCUAAGCGAAAGCAUUAAGCAUCCCACCUGGGGAGUACGCCGGCAACGGUGAAACUCAAAGGAAUUGACGGGGGCCCGCACAAGCGGAGGAACAUGUGGUUUAAUUCGAUGAUACGCGAGGAACCUUACCCGGGCUUGAA